UACGGAGGGGGCAAGCGUUAUUCGGAAUUAUUGGGCGUAAAGGGCGCGUAGGCGGCUAGAUGUGUCAAAGGUGAAAUCCCUCGGCUCAACUGAGGAACUGCCUUUGAAACUGUCUGGCUUGAGGCCGGGAGAGGGUAGCGGAAUUCCCAGUGUAGCGGUGGAAUGCGUAGAUAUUGGGAGGAACACCAGUGGCGAAGGCGGCUACCUGGACCGGUUCUGACGCUGAGGCGCGAAAGCGUGGGUAGCAAACAGG
Molecule: ribosomal RNA, 253 nt
Filed under: uncultured bacterium
Lineage: Bacteria
Description: partial 16S ribosomal RNA
Rfam family: Bacterial small subunit ribosomal RNA
Source: RNAcentral